UAAGGAAUAUUGGGCAAUGGAGGCAACUCUGACCCAGCCAUCCCGCGUGAAGGAUUAAGGCCCUGUGGGUUGUAAACUUCUUUUGUUUGGGAAGAAAUCAGGACAUUCAUGUGCCGUUGACGGUACCUUACGAAUAAGCACCGGCUAACUCCGUGCCAGCAGCCGCGGUAAUACGGAGGGUGCAAGCGUUAUCCGGAAUCACUGGGUUUAAAGGGUGCGUAGGCGGUUUGAUAAGUCAGAGGUGAAAGCUAGCAGCUUAACUGUUAAAUUGCCUUUGAUACUGUCAGACUUGAAUCAAGUUGAGGUAGGCGGAAUGUGACAUGUAGCGGUGAAAUGCAUAGAUAUGUCAUAGAACACCAAUUGCGUAGGCAGCUUGCUGGGCUUGAAUUGACGCUGAGGCACGAAAGCGUGGGGAUCAAACAGGAUUAGAUACCCUGGUAGUCCACGCCCUAAACGAUGUUAACUCGAUAUUUAUUCUUCGGAGUGAGUGUCCAAGCGAAAGCGUUAAGUUAACCACCUGGGGAGUACGUUCGCAAGAAUG
Molecule: ribosomal RNA, 541 nt
Filed under: uncultured bacterium
Lineage: Bacteria
Description: bacterial SSU rRNA
Rfam family: Bacterial small subunit ribosomal RNA
Source: RNAcentral